RNAcentral lists this ribosomal RNA (745 nucleotides) under uncultured archaeon. RNAcentral's name for it is "bacterial SSU rRNA". It matches the Rfam family "Archaeal small subunit ribosomal RNA", at positions 70 to 814 of the family's 1478-position model. The record is from RNAcentral.
UCAGACCCGUGGCAAAUAGCUCAGUAGCACGUGGCCAAUCUACCCUCCGGAUCAGCACACCCUCGGGAAACUGAGGCCAAUUCUGUAUACGGCUCCCGACCUGGAAUGGUGGGAGCCAGAAACGCUCCGGCGCCGGAGGAUGAGGCUGCGGCCGAUUAGGUUGACGGUGGGGUAAUGGCCCACCGUGCCGAUAAUCGGUCUGGGUCAUGAGAGUGAGAACCCAGAGACGGACUCUGAGACAAGAUUCCGGGCCCUACGGGGCGCAGCAGGCGCGAAACCUUUACACUGCACGCCAGUGCGAUAAGGGGACCCCAAGUGCGCAGGCAUAGUGCCUGCGCUUUUCUGGACUGUAGGGCGGUCCAGGAACAAGGGCUGGGCAAGACCGGUGCCAGCCGCCGCGGUAAUACCGGCAGCCCAAGUGAUGGCCGCUGUUAUUGGGCCUAAAGCGUCCGUAGCUGGCCGCACAAGUCCGUCGGGAAAUCCGCCCGCUCAACGGGCGGCCGUCCGGCGGAACCUGUGUGGCUUGGGACCGGGAGGCCUGAGGGGUACGAUCGGGGUAGGAGUGAAAUCCUGUAAUCCCGCUCGGACCGCCGAUGGGGAAACCACCUCAGGAGAACGGAUCCGACAGUGAGGGACGAAAGCCAGGGUCUCGAACCGGAUUAGAUACCCGGGUAGUCCUGGCCGUAAACGAUGCUUGUUAGGUGUGACUCCCACUACGAGUGGGUGUUGUGCCGUAGGGAAGCCG